CUCUCUGUACGGGAAGGAUGAGAAGCUUCGACUAAGGUUCGAUUCGAGCGCAGCGAGAAAGCGUUGCCGCAGGCAACGACCCGAAGGGCGAAGCGCGCAGCGCUGAGUCAUCCUUCCCCCACCACCA
This 127-nucleotide small RNA is filed under the name Salmonella enterica. Its description in RNAcentral is "partial RtT sRNA". It matches the Rfam family "RtT RNA". From Rfam's summary of the family: This family represents a bacterial cis-regulatory element known as RtT RNA. The exact function of RtT is unknown although it is thought that it may be involved in changing the cellular response in relation to amino acid starvation. RNAcentral also lists the same sequence under 1 other name. The record is from RNAcentral. Lineage: Bacteria; Pseudomonadati; Pseudomonadota; Gammaproteobacteria; Enterobacterales; Enterobacteriaceae.